RNAcentral lists this long non-coding RNA (1152 nucleotides) under Dromaius novaehollandiae (emu). Its description in RNAcentral is "lncRNA (ENSDNVG00000009088.1)". The record is from RNAcentral. Lineage: Eukaryota; Metazoa; Chordata; Aves; Casuariiformes; Dromaiidae.
AUGUCGCGUUUCCGCCCCGCGGCCGAGCAAGCCCGGUGCUCACGGUGCCCGGCAGCCUGCCGCGUUUUGCAGCCGUUUAAGGUAAAACUGGGGCCGUGCUGCGAGGCGGCGCUGCGGAGGGGUGGGCGAGCAGCGGGGCCGGGGCCGGAGGUGCCCUCGGACGGGAGCAUCCCGGCACCRAGGGCUCAGCCCCGCGCGGCUGCGGCUGGCCGGUGCUGUUAUCCCGCCGGCUCCGGCCUCCACCUCCCCGUCUCCGGGGAAGCUGGCGCGGCUGGUGGUGGCAUCACUUUCCGAGACGGACUCGUCCCGCGUCCGGAUGCCGGGAGCCCCGCCGUGUCCCACGCACUCGCCGGGCCCCGCUGGGGCAGGAGGCRGCGGGGGGACAGCGAGGACCUUCUCGCCGGCGGCCCCGAAGUGCCAGAGGCGAGACGGUGCCCGGGGGGGGGUUCUGCUUCCCGGCCCUUCGCCCCGGGGAGGCUGGUGGCUCCCUGGUUUGUGGCACAGGCGGCAGGGAUGGAGCCUCUCCAGGACUCGGCUUCGAUUCCUGCUCCGGCUGGAGCCCGGCGAGACUCCGGGACGCGGCUGCUUUCCCUGCUCUGCGGGGAGCUGGGAUCCUGCCGUUCGCCGACGCCUUUCCCACCCAUGGCGCUUGGAGCUGCUCUUUCCGAUGCCUGUGCCAAAAUGCCUAUCCCUGUCCCCGAGGAGCCCGACCUCACGUCCUUGUGCAAUAUUUUAGGCAGCUGGUGCCAACCCCGCGGUUGGCUUCGGGGAAGAGCUCGUCGGGCGCCCGGAGCGCUGGCGGUGGCUGCGGGGACGUCUCCUCCGGCGAGCGAGGAUCCGCGUUGUGCUGGCGGGGAGGGACGGGCGCUGGAGCAGCCCAAGCCCUCGCUCCUCUCCCUGACGCCGCCGGCACUCGCGCCUGCUCGGUGGUGGCGGCGAGAUGCCCCCUCUCCCCCCGCCGCCGCGCUCCCUCGCGGCCCCGACGGCUUUGCCUUGCCGGCUUCUCCACGGAAAUCGCGGCUUCGUUCAAAACCCAGGUCAACGUGUUUCUAUGCGGCCGAACGGGCUCCGCUCUGGGGCUCGCGGGCGGUGGGCGSGUGGGCAGGGCUAGAGCUGGAGCAGGGAGCGGAGGGGCACGGCRGGGAGCCGUGA